Molecule: long non-coding RNA, 444 nt
Organism: Homo sapiens (human)
Lineage: Eukaryota; Metazoa; Chordata; Mammalia; Primates; Hominidae
Source: Ensembl
UCAGGAAGCUCAGGGGCUGGGGAAACAGAGAGGAGGAGACCCCAUCCAGCCUGGGAGGAGGGAGUUUGGGAAACCGGAUGUCAGAUUCCAGCCACUGGGGAGUUGGAUUUCACCCUCUGUAGUCACUUUCAAGUCUAAAAUCCCACGAAGAACUGAAGUUGGGCAGGGAAAUUGAAAGUAAAAGUGAGGAAUGGAGAAGUUUCUGUGCCACAUUUGACGUGAAACUGAAAGUGAUCAUGUAUGUGUCCCUCCUGCUCCCAUAUGAUCUGGCACAGCGCCAUUCAGUUUUACAGAAGCUGAAGCUCAGUGCAGUAGCCUGGCUUGCCAGAAUGCACUCUUUCUUAACGGCUCACAUUUCCAUCCACAGCCCAGGUCUCUGCCCUCCCAGUUCAAUCCCUCACCCCAGUCCGUUAUUUUUAAGGCAUAUAAAGGAAACCAGAGACA